AUGCCAUUUGGUAUGUUUAUAGGAGUUAGUAACCACUUUGAGAGUGUAAUAUUCGCUGGAGUGUUCUUGACUAAUGAGAAGGAAGAGAAUUUAUGUUGGGCUUUUAAGCAAUUUGUUGCUAUGAUGGGUGGAAAACACCCAGUUACUAUUCUUACAGAUCAGGCUAGAGCCAUUGGAAAUGCAGUCAGGAAAGUUUUCACUCAUGCAGAACAUAGAUGGUGCAAAUGGCAUGUUCUUAAGCGGGCUCAUGAACUUCUUGGUGCUGUCUAUAGCAAGCACAAAACAUUUGCCGAUGAUUUCCAUAAGCUAGUGAACCACAUGCUAACUGUAGAAGAGUUUGAAUCUGUCUGGAAUUUCGUUACGGUAAAAUAUUGUUUGCAGGAACAUCCUUUUAUGACUAGAGCAUACGAGUGCAGGCACAAAUGGGCUAAACCAUAUUUUAGCAAAGUUUUCUGUGCUAGAAUGUGUAGCACUCAACGUAGUGAGUGUGCAAACUUUAUGCUGAAGAUACAUACUGUAUGCAAUUCUUCAAUAAAUGCAUUCAUUACCCAGUACACUAAGCUUAUAGACGAUCGUAAGAGUUGUGACGCAGAUGCCGAAAGGAAUAACAAGCAGAAAAUAAUUAAGGUCCAUUUUGGAUAUCCAAUGGAGAAGCAUGCUCCAGUUAUCUAUACUGCAAAGGUUUAUAAUCUAUUCAAGAAGGAGCUCAUUAAGUCAACAUCAUACCUUGUGCUUCCUAGCAAGGAGGAACAUACUUUUGUUGUGAAGCACGUCUAG
RNAcentral lists this ribosomal RNA (777 nucleotides) under Triticum aestivum (bread wheat). Its description in RNAcentral is "partial small subunit ribosomal RNA". Lineage: Eukaryota; Viridiplantae; Streptophyta; Magnoliopsida; Poales; Poaceae. The record is from RNAcentral.